This 549-nucleotide ribosomal RNA is filed under the name Penicillium chrysogenum. Its description in RNAcentral is "eukaryotic LSU rRNA". The stretch from base 178 to 330 matches the Rfam family "5.8S ribosomal RNA". The record is from RNAcentral. Lineage: Eukaryota; Fungi; Ascomycota; Eurotiomycetes; Eurotiales; Aspergillaceae.
GUAGGAGGUGGGCCCUCUGGGUCAACCCUCCCACCCGUGUUUAUUUUACCUUGUUGCUUCGGCGGGCCCGCCUUAACUGGCCGCCGGGGGGCUUACGCCCCCGGGCCCGCGCCCGCCGAAGACACCCUCGAACUCUGUCUGAAGAUUGUAGUCUGAGUGAAAAUAUAAAUUAUUUAAAACUUUCAACAACGGAUCUCUUGGUUCCGGCAUCGAUGAAGAACGCAGCGAAAUGCGAUACGUAAUGUGAAUUGCAAAUUCAGUGAAUCAUCGAGUCUUUGAACGCACAUUGCGCCCCCUGGUAUUCCGGGGGGCAUGCCUGUCCGAGCGUCAUUGCUGCCCUCAAGCACGGCUUGUGUGUUGGGCCCCGUCCUCCGAUCCCGGGGGACGGGCCCGAAAGGCAGCGGCGGCACCGCGUCCGGUCCUCGAGCGUAUGGGGCUUUGUCACCCGCUCUGUAGGCCCGGCCGGCGCUUGCCGAUCAACCCAAAUUUUUAUCCAGGUUGACCUCGGAUCAGGUAGGGAUACCCGCUGAACUUAAGCAUAUCAAUAAG